Triplophysa dalaica is the source of this 1545-nucleotide long non-coding RNA. RefSeq lists it as uncharacterized. Lineage: Eukaryota; Metazoa; Chordata; Actinopteri; Cypriniformes; Nemacheilidae. The transcript has 3 exons. The record is from RefSeq and is a predicted model, not a curated record.
AUGGCAUGCUAAGUUGGCUGCACAGUGCUGAACUAAUAUUUGACUAACUUAAAAUACUAUUUGUCAUAAAACGGUAAGGUAAAAGUCCUAGACAAAAUACGUUAACAUUAGUACUACGCUAGUUUAAGUUAACGCUAACGUGACAUUAUUGUUCAAAUUAAAGCCAAAGCAGUCUUAAAACGCACAUGACUACAGCACUUAUUUAAUUUCAUAUUAACAACACGGUCUCCGGUUGGGGAUGCAGCUGUCGUGGGGGCUCGCUUUAUCAGCAGUGGAGAUGCUAGUACAUUUGAAUGUAUGGCGCUAGCAGCACCUGCUAACAUAAUCGCCACUGUAACAACAUUUCGGAUGGACGAGUUUAAAAACGGAGAUACGUAGGUAAUAAUUAGUUGCACAAAUGCCCUCACUUAAAUUUCAUGUGUGAUCGAAAUGGUCACAAUUUUGAGCCUUUGGGCAAUAGUUGUGCGGGCAUUAAGGGGAAGUUAGCUGUGGUGUUUUGUGGACAGCAGGCUAAACAAGCUAUAGCCACGUGCCUUUAACAGGACAUAGGAAAGAGAGAUCAAGUUAGUAUACACUUUUGGAUAACUAAAGCAGAUGCACAGAUUAAACUCUAGAUAUGAAUGCUUAGUCUGUCUAAUUUGAGAGAUUUGAUCCACGUUUUUUAAUGCUGCAUAGUUAAUUAAUGACCGAUUUCUUAAAUCAAGUUAAACCACAGAUUUUUAACCUUAUUCGAACAUGCAUUUUCUUUGUCUUUAGAUACCAAAGAGCUUUUGUGACUUUGGCUCUUCAAGCUUCACAUCCAGAAAAACUUCAGAAUAUAUACAAUUACAGCUAUAACUAUUCCCAGGUAAAAAUGAGUAAAAUGUUUCUCCGAACAUUCAGUGAAGUAAAACUUCCUCUGUGUACUCCAGGACUGUUCUUUUUGUUAAUAGACAUGCUGGCGGCAUAUGUAUAAUCGUGAUGAAUCAGAGGUGCACGCUGAGCUUGGCAGUUGCCCAUUGAAAAUGUAUAUGUGCCAUCAGCCCGACACGAUUGGGAUUGUAAUAGAAGGACAGCCCGUGGUCCGAGGUGUGCCAAACCUGUCAAAAAUAUGCUGCCUCCUCUUUGGACUCACCUAUGCCCUUGACCUCAAAUAUCCUGCAAAACUGGUAUAUACUUUUGAGAUAUAUCAGAGGCUGUUUGUGGGAUUGGACCCCAUGCGUCCGAAGACAUCAUCCAAGUACACAAAUCUCCUCACAAAAUUGAAUUUGAUGAUUUCUCAACGGCAUCUGGCAUUGUUUGCCAUCAUUUGAAAAAAUGCAAUUACUAUGGUAGGUGAGUUUACCAAAUACCAACUUAAACGUUUUAAACCUCAAGACUCAUUUGACAAGCUGCUCAGGUAAUAUAAUUUCCAUGGUUAUUUUCGUUUUGUGUUCAUUGUUCAGUGCCUUAAUUAAUGUGGACUUUGGACUGUGUUAUGUGCCGAUCAUUACCUCAUGAGGUAUACAGUAUACUCAACCUAACAGUGUUGUGUGCAAAAUUUGGGAGUUCUUAAAUAAUAAUGGA